RNAcentral lists this ribosomal RNA (286 nucleotides) under uncultured bacterium. RNAcentral describes it as "partial 16S ribosomal RNA". It matches the Rfam family "Bacterial small subunit ribosomal RNA", at positions 72 to 353 of the family's 1533-position model. The record is from RNAcentral.
AAGAAAGCUUGCUUUCUUUGCCGGCGACCGGCGCACGGGUGAGUAACACGUAUCCAACCUACCCUUUACUCGGGGAUAGCCUUUCGAAAGAAAGAUUAAUACCCGAUAGCAUAAUGAUUCCGCAUGGUUUCAUUAUUAAAGGAUUCCGGUAAAGGAUGGGGAUGCGUUCCAUUAGGUUGUUGGUGGGGUAACGGCCCACCAAGCCUUCGAUGGAUAGGGGUUCUGAGAGGAAGGUCCCCCACAUUGGAACUGAGACACGGUCCAAACUCCUACGGGAGGCAGCAUG